RNAcentral lists this non-coding RNA (147 nucleotides) under Leptospira interrogans. The record is from RNAcentral. Lineage: Bacteria; Pseudomonadati; Spirochaetota; Leptospiria; Leptospirales; Leptospiraceae.
UAUAUCACUACGUUUUACGAGUAUGCUUACUGUAUUCGGAGGAAUACUGGUGCAAAUCCAGUGCUGGCCCGCAACCGUAAUGUUUGAAUUCUUUAAAUCAUAUUAGAAUUCUCUAAGUCGGAUACUCCUCUUUAAAAACACUCUCGU